CCGGGGAGGGUGUGCAGGAUCUUUAUAAUGUGAGUGUGUGUGUCUGUGUGUGAGUCAUUACAUUCAGCUUCCAUUCGGCAGGCUGCAGGCUUCAGCAGGACAGAGAUGGCUACGCUAAACCAAGCCUGUGUUAAUGAGACAGCUCUGCAGGGAUGAGAAGAACACACACAGAGCAAGUUUGAAGACGUCUUCUGGCCUCCCAAAGGCUUUCAGUCGGUUUCUUCUAAGCAAGAAGGCAAAUACUGAAGAGCUUCUGAUGUUUUGCAAAUUCACCAGGUGGAGUAUCUGUCUGUCUGUCUGUCUUUGGGAUAUGCCAAAAGAUGACAACGACGAUGGAGCAGAAGAGCGUUUGACUUUCACCAGCGAGCCCCUCUGUUUGACAUCAUGUUUUCUUAAUGAGAGCCAGCUGCCCCCAACAUCAGCAUUCUCCUUCAUACCAGCAUGAAAAAACAUGAAAGUUAGAACUUUAAACAUGUCCAGAUUCCUUUGUACGCCACGGGCAGUAUUAGCCUGCUCGUCAGCAUUACAAUCAAUGGUGCCUGUGAUCAUCAAGGGUGGAAAUGAGCGCUUAGCCUUGGAGCACACGCACAGGAUGAAAUACUGCACAUUCAUUAUGUAAACAAUCUGGUUUGCUGAGCCAUGUGCAAGGUUUUUUCCCGGUGUACUGACACCGACAUCUUCAUAGACAAUAAAAAUGAAAUAAAAUAACUAAAUAAAUAAAUAAAUUUCCAGGUGCUAAUUAAUAUGCUGUUCUCAGAGGUUUAAAAGCUUUUGCUUCUAUGACCAGUCACUGCAGAUAUAAUUUGUUCUAUUAAAAUCUGUUUCAUGCUCCCUUUUCAGUCUCAUGCUGCUUUUAUGACUUAAUCAGGGGAGAAAAAAUUAAUAGAAUUGGUGACAAAUAUGUCAGUGCUACUAUCACAAAGAGUUGGCCACUGAUAGCUGCUAACUCCUUGUGGCAUCAGCAAGGUGCUGUAAACUUUCCUGUCUUCCAUGUCCAAUGUUGGUAAGCCUGUGCAAAUUCUAGAGAUAAUGUACUGUUCUCAGCUAACAGGGGUGGCACCUGGUGUGGUCUUCAGGCGCUGAAGCCCAUCGGCCUCAAUGUUAGACACAUUGUGCAUUCAGAGAUGCUUUUCUGUGUACCUUGCUUUCAAUGAGUGGUUAUUUGACUUACUGUUGCCUUUCUAUACACUCAAAGCAGUCUGGACAUUCUUCUUUGACCUCUGUUACCAACAAGGUCUUUUCACCUGCAGCUUACUGGACAUUUUCUGUAAACCCUAAAGAUGGUUUUGUGAGAAAAUCCCACCAGAUCAGCAGUUUCUGAAAUACUCCAGUAAGCCCAUCUGGCACCAACAACCAUAACAUGUUCAAAGUC
This is a long non-coding RNA of Maylandia zebra (zebra mbuna), 1372 nucleotides long. RefSeq lists it as uncharacterized. The record is from RefSeq and is a predicted model, not a curated record. Lineage: Eukaryota; Metazoa; Chordata; Actinopteri; Cichliformes; Cichlidae.